UACGAAGGGGGCUAGCGUUGCUCGGAAUUACUGGGCGUAAAGGGCGCGUAGGCGGCACUGUUAGUCAGGCGUGAAAUUCCUGGGCUCAACCUGGGGACUGCGCUUGAUACGGCAGAGCUAGAGGAUGGAAGAGGGUCGCGGAAUUCCCAGUGUAGAGGUGAAAUUCGUAGAUAUUGGGAAGAACACCGGUGGCGAAGGCGGCGACCUGGUCCAUUACUGACGCUGAGGCGCGACAGCGUGGGGAGCAAACAGG
This 253-nucleotide ribosomal RNA is filed under the name uncultured bacterium. RNAcentral's name for it is "partial 16S ribosomal RNA". It matches the Rfam family "Bacterial small subunit ribosomal RNA", at positions 524 to 776 of the family's 1533-position model. The record is from RNAcentral.